This 611-nucleotide long non-coding RNA is filed under the name Ananas comosus (pineapple). RNAcentral's name for it is "long non-coding RNA (ACOM_LNC013283)". Lineage: Eukaryota; Viridiplantae; Streptophyta; Magnoliopsida; Poales; Bromeliaceae. The record is from RNAcentral.
CUAGGGGCUAAAUUUGAAAGGUUGAAAAUUAGUAUUUUUGGAGGGUAAAAUGAUAUUAUAACUAAAAUAUUAAUUGUAGUUCAGGAAAUACUAUUGUGAGUGAAAUUUAUAAAUAUGACAAUUUUAAUAUUGUUGUUUGAAAAUUUGAGGAAUUUUCAAAAUUACAAAAGAGUAGUGAAAAAUAAUUUUUGAUACACAAUUACGCAAAAAUUUAUAUAAUUUUAAGCCUCAUUAUCCUUCUUUAUCAAUCAUUAUCUUUUUAUCCCACCUACUCCAACCAAUCAUUAUCCUUCUUUAUCAAUCAUUAUCUUCUUAUCCCACCUACUCCAACCCCACCUACUCCAACCAAUCAUUAUCCUUCUUUAUCAAUCAUUAUCUUCUUAUCCCACCUACUCCAACCAAUCAUUAUCCUUCUUUAUCAAUCAUUAUCUUCUUAUCCCACCUACUCCAACCAAACACUAUUUUUCAUUAUUCUAGACUAACUCCAACCUCCAACCAAACACAAAAAAACUUUAACCCCACUUUAACCCUGAACUUAACCCUAUACCUGGAAUAGCUACUUUUUUCUUAACCCCGAACCAAACGGAGGCUCAGGAAUUAGCCACUCCUUA